This 473-nucleotide ribosomal RNA is filed under the name Yersinia frederiksenii. Its description in RNAcentral is "bacterial SSU rRNA". It matches the Rfam family "Bacterial small subunit ribosomal RNA", at positions 30 to 491 of the family's 1533-position model. The record is from RNAcentral. Lineage: Bacteria; Pseudomonadati; Pseudomonadota; Gammaproteobacteria; Enterobacterales; Yersiniaceae.
UUGAACGCUGGCGGCAGGCCUAACACAUGCAAGUCGAGCGGCAGCGGAAAGUAGCUUGCUACUUUGCCGGCGAGCGGCGGACGGGUGAGUAAUGUCUGGGAAACUGCCUGAUGGAGGGGGAUAACUACUGGAAACGGUAGCUAAUACCGCAUGACCUCGCAAGAGCAAAGUGGGGGACCUUCGGGCCUCACGCCAUCGGAUGUGCCCAGAUGGGAUUAGCUAGUAGGUGGGGUAAUGGCUCACCUAGGCGACGAUCCCUAGCUGGUCUGAGAGGAUGACCAGCCACACUGGAACUGAGACACGGUCCAGACUCCUACGGGAGGCAGCAGUGGGGAAUAUUGCACAAUGGGCGCAAGCCUGAUGCAGCCAUGCCGCGUGUGUGAAGAAGGCCUUCGGGUUGUAAAGCACUUUCAGCGAGGAGGAAGGGGUUGAGUUUAAUACGCUCAAUCAUUGACGUUACUCGCAGAAGAAGC